Long non-coding RNA from Carassius carassius (crucian carp), 281 nucleotides. RefSeq lists it as uncharacterized. Lineage: Eukaryota; Metazoa; Chordata; Actinopteri; Cypriniformes; Cyprinidae. The record is from RefSeq and is a predicted model, not a curated record. The transcript has 4 exons.
GCUGAGGGUGCUUAACUCUCACCUGUGUGCAUUUCUAGUCAUUUGCUAAUACCAAGUCUAUUUGUCUGUCUGUUUGUGUGCUAAUAUGCUGGUUCGGGUGAUCCUGCAGACCUCACUGGUCCUGUGGCUGGCACAGAGCACCAUACAGGGAGGAGUUAGACCACAGACUAGAGCCCUGGGAAGAUUGGCGAGUCGAGGUCCUGGUAUCAGUGCAAAGUCUGGAGUGGCUGGUAUUCUUGGAGCCCGUGGCUAUGGGGCAGGCAAGCCAGGACAGACAGGUG